RNAcentral lists this ribosomal RNA (19 nucleotides) under Yersinia pestis PY-71. RNAcentral describes it as "partial 23S ribosomal RNA". Lineage: Bacteria; Pseudomonadati; Pseudomonadota; Gammaproteobacteria; Enterobacterales; Yersiniaceae. RNAcentral also lists the same sequence under 1 other name. The record is from RNAcentral.
GGCGGGGUAAAUUUCAGCU